Molecule: ribosomal RNA, 219 nt
Filed under: Triticum aestivum (bread wheat)
Lineage: Eukaryota; Viridiplantae; Streptophyta; Magnoliopsida; Poales; Poaceae
Description: partial small subunit ribosomal RNA
Source: RNAcentral
AUGGCGUACUCCUCCUGUUUGAAUCGGAGUUUGAAACCAAACAAACUUCUCCUCAGGAGGAUAGAUGGGGCGAUUCAGGUGAGAUCCCAUGUAGAUCUAACUUUCUAUUCACUCGUGGGAUCCGGGCGGUCCGGGGGGGGCCACCACGGCUCCUCUCUUCUCGAGAAUCCAUACAUCCCUUAUCAGUGUAUGGAGAGCUAUCUCUCGAGCACAGGUUGA